This 637-nucleotide ribosomal RNA is filed under the name Agrostemma githago (corn cockle). RNAcentral describes it as "eukaryotic LSU rRNA". The stretch from base 228 to 382 matches the Rfam family "5.8S ribosomal RNA". Lineage: Eukaryota; Viridiplantae; Streptophyta; Magnoliopsida; Caryophyllales; Caryophyllaceae. The record is from RNAcentral.
UCGAAACCUGCCAAGCAGAGCGACCCGUGAACAUGUGUAUCCUCAUGGGUGUGGGGGUGUUGCUAGGUGCCUUGUGCGCUUGCACGCCCGUGCCCCAAGUCGAGGAGCCCCUCCUCACAAAAACGACCCCCGACGCGUAACGCUUCAAGGAGUAAGAACUUAAUGUGUGUGCCCUCUGGCUGCCCGGUCAACCGGCUCUGGUGCGGUGCCAUGUCUUAACAAUAAACGACUCUCGGCAACGGAUAUCUCGGCUCUCGCAUCGAUGAAGAACGUAGCGAAAUGCGAUACUUGGUGUGAAUUGCAGAAUCCCGUGAACCAUCGAGUUUUUGAACGCAAGUUGCGCCCGAAGCCUUUGGCCGAGGGCACGCCUGCCUUGGCGUCACGCAUCGCGUCUUCCCCACGCUCACCUUGUGUGGGGGGGAAGGAGGAUGGCUUCCCGUGCCUCACCGGGCGCGGCUGGCCUAAAAAGGGAGCCCACGGCGUUGUGAUGUCGCGGCGAUAGGUGGUGAACAAGGCCUUGGCUGAGCAAGCAACCCGCCGCGCAUCGCUUUGUCAACGUGUGCUCGGAGGACCCUAUGAAGUUGCCUCGGUGCAACGCAAACCGUUGCGACCCCAGGUCAGGCGGGGCUACCCGCUG